UUCAGUCGUUUCUAGUAUGCAUUUCCAUAGCAGUGACCUGUACAAAACACCUAGUGGUUUUAACAAACCAGAGUUAAAGAAGACGCGGCACCUUUUGUUUUUUCAUGGGUCUCUGUCACAACCCAAGCCAGGAAGUCUGUUUUUGAGUGGACAACUCAGAGAGACUGGGGUUUGAUGUUCAUGAAGUCCAACAACCUUGUGGAAACGAAGUUGGUGUUGCUAGCUUAGCUACGGACCACGACUACGACGCACGACCAUCCCCUGGUAGGUGCAUUGGAUGCAGCUCACACGAAGAUAGUGGAACUGGAGGUGCUGGUGUUGUCACAACUUCAAUGAAGGACUCGUCUCACCAAAUCCUCUCCUCUACACGGAAAUGUCUGACUUGGUGUCAGUGACUGUCACACCAGGGAAGGCCAGUGACCGCAAGCUGACCUUGCACUUGGGUGAAAUUCCGGUGACUCAUUUUUAGUUGAGGUUUCUCCCCCAACGAACUUGAUGUGAGGUGCCUCGUGAUGCUGGUGAUGUCUGGCCAUUUCACCUCCAUUAGUACAAAGUGGGGAACCUGCAAAGGAUCAACCACCUGACAAUCUAGGCUUGCACCCAGAUGUAUCAUAACGAUGCUGCAGUGGGAGACCUUGACCUACCAGAGAUCCACGUAGUGGUGGAGCACUUCUGGCUCCAGCCCCUGCCGCAUAUCUGCGGUUUGCCACGUUCCCUUGAGGACCCUCCCUGCCAACCACUGCUGGGUCUCAUCUCUCCUGGCAGCAAGGACCUCAUGGCUUGCUGUGAGCCUGCUCUCCACAGGUGGCACCGGGUGUACAUAUAUAUAUAAAAUUGGUUUAUAGUUUGUUCAUUGUGUUCAUUUUGGGUGUUCAUGUAUUGUUCCAUGUUGUGUAUUUCUAUGAUGUCCACAAGUUUUUCAAUAAAAUAUGUUUCUUGUUUACUUUGACACUAACCUUUUAUAGGGCAUAUAUAAUGUGGAUUUCACUCUGCAGCGUCCCGAUGUUUUUGUUUUUUUAAUGACCAACUGGUUAGGUUACGUUUACCUGAGUGCGUGGCAUGUGCAACAAUGUGAUUACAGAGUCCUCUACCAACACA
Alosa alosa (allis shad) is the source of this 1098-nucleotide long non-coding RNA. RefSeq lists it as uncharacterized. NCBI's taxonomy places the organism in Eukaryota, Metazoa, Chordata, Actinopteri, Clupeiformes, Clupeidae. The record is from RefSeq and is a predicted model, not a curated record. The transcript has 3 exons.